GGCUAUGUAGCUCAGUUGGUUAGAGCAUCGCACUCAUAAUGCGGGGGUCACAGGUUCGAAUCCCGUCAUAGCCACCA
RNAcentral lists this transfer RNA (77 nucleotides) under Escherichia coli. RNAcentral describes it as "tRNA-Met". It matches the Rfam family "tRNA". From Rfam's summary of the family: Transfer RNA (tRNA) molecules are approximately 80 nucleotides in length. Their secondary structure includes four short double-helical elements and three loops (D, anti-codon, and T loops). RNAcentral also lists the same sequence under 183 other names. The record is from RNAcentral. Lineage: Bacteria; Pseudomonadati; Pseudomonadota; Gammaproteobacteria; Enterobacterales; Enterobacteriaceae.